Molecule: transfer RNA, 69 nt
Filed under: Marmota marmota marmota (Alpine marmot)
Lineage: Eukaryota; Metazoa; Chordata; Mammalia; Rodentia; Sciuridae
Also listed under: 1 other name
Rfam family: tRNA
About the family: Transfer RNA (tRNA) molecules are approximately 80 nucleotides in length. Their secondary structure includes four short double-helical elements and three loops (D, anti-codon, and T loops).
Source: Rfam by way of RNAcentral
GGGGUUGUGGCUCAGCGGUAGAGCGCUCGCCUAGUAAGCAUGAGGCCCUGGGUUUGAUCCUCAGUACCA